CAUGGCUCAGGACGAACGCUGGCGGCGUGCCUAAUACAUGCAAGUAGAACGCUGAAAGGAGGAGCUUGCUCUUCUUGGAUGAGUUGCGAACGGGUGAGUAACGCGUAGGUAACCUGCCUGGUAGCGGGGGAUAACUAUUGGAAACGAUAGCUAAUACCGCAUAAGAGUAGAUGUUGCAUGACAUUUGCUUAAAAGGUGCAAUUGCAUCACUACCAGAUGGACCUGCGUUGUAUUAGCUAGUUGGUGAGGUAACGGCUCACCAAGGCGACGAUACAUAGCCGACCUGAGAGGGGGAUAGCCCACCCUGGGACGGAGACACGGCCCAGACCCCUCCGG
Molecule: ribosomal RNA, 336 nt
Filed under: uncultured bacterium
Lineage: Bacteria
Description: bacterial SSU rRNA
Rfam family: Bacterial small subunit ribosomal RNA
Source: RNAcentral